RNAcentral lists this non-coding RNA (31 nucleotides) under Homo sapiens (human). Lineage: Eukaryota; Metazoa; Chordata; Mammalia; Primates; Hominidae. The record is from RNAcentral.
UGGGGUCUAGGAUGGAGUAACAGUUCAACCC